This 557-nucleotide ribosomal RNA is filed under the name Acinetobacter calcoaceticus. RNAcentral describes it as "bacterial SSU rRNA". It matches the Rfam family "Bacterial small subunit ribosomal RNA", at positions 90 to 642 of the family's 1533-position model. The record is from RNAcentral. Lineage: Bacteria; Pseudomonadati; Pseudomonadota; Gammaproteobacteria; Moraxellales; Moraxellaceae.
ACUUAGCGGCGGACGGGUGAGUAAUGCUUAGGAAUCUGCCUAUUAGUGGGGGACAACAUUUCGAAAGGAAUGCUAAUACCGCAUACGUCCUACGGGAGAAAGCAGGGGAUCUUCGGACCUUGCGCUAAUAGAUGAGCCUAAGUCGGAUUAGCUAGUUGGUGGGGUAAAGGCCUACCAAGGCGACGAUCUGUAGCGGGUCUGAGAGGAUGAUCCGCCACACUGGGACUGAGACACGGCCCAGACUCCUACGGGAGGCAGCAGUGGGGAAUAUUGGACAAUGGGCGCAAGCCUGAUCCAGCCAUGCCGCGUGUGUGAAGAAGGCCUUAUGGUUGUAAAGCACUUUAAGCGAGGAGGAGGCUACUGAAGUUAAUACCUUCAGAUAGUGGACGUUACUCGCAGAAUAAGCACCGGCUAACUCUGUGCCAGCAGCCGCGGUAAUACAGAGGGUGCAAGCGUUAAUCGGAUUUACUGGGCGUAAAGCGCGCGUAGGCGGCUAAUUAAGUCAAAUGUGAAAUCCCCGAGCUUAACUUGGGAAUUGCAUUCGAUACUGGUUAGCU